Molecule: ribosomal RNA, 460 nt
Filed under: uncultured bacterium
Lineage: Bacteria
Description: partial 16S ribosomal RNA
Rfam family: Bacterial small subunit ribosomal RNA
Source: RNAcentral
CCUACGGGGGGCAGCAGUGAGGAAUAUUGGUCAAUGGACGAGAGUCUGAACCAGCCAAGUAGCGUGAAGGAUGACUGCCCUAUGGUUGGUAAACUUCUUUUAUAAAGGAAUAAAACGAGUCACGUGUGCCUUUUUGCAUUUACUUUAUGAAUAAGGAUCGGCUAACUCCGUUCCAGCAGCCGCGGUAAUGCGGAGGAUCCGAGCGUUAUCCGGAUUUAUUGGGUUUAAAGGGAGCGUAGAUGGGUUGUUAAGUCAGUUGUGAAAGUUUGCGGCUCAACCGUAAAAUUGCAAUUGAUACUGGCAGUCUUGAGUACAGUUGAGGUAGGCGGAAUUCGUGGUGUAGCGGUGAAAUGCUUAGAUAUCACGAAGAACCCCGAUUGCGAAGGCAGCUAACUAAACUGUGACUGACAUUGAUGCUCGAAAGUGUGGGUAUCAAACAGGAUUAGAUACCCUGGUAGUC